GCUGACCUGCCGUGUUUGUGAUGGCGCAGUGCGUUUGAGCCAACACCCAUUUUUAGGAAGUCGCCGUCUGAUGCCCCGGUGAUAGGCUUGAGCCAAGACCUAUACAUCAGGAGGAUUUCCACCUGCGAAAGCAGGUUCAAACAUCGCGACCACACGGCAUGGCGGGACACCC
Molecule: non-coding RNA, 172 nt
Filed under: Chloroflexota bacterium
Lineage: Bacteria; Bacillati; Chloroflexota
Description: Chloroflexi bacterium (hot springs metagenome) 6S RNA
Rfam family: 6S / SsrS RNA
About the family: E. coli 6S RNA was the first non coding RNA to be sequenced, but its function was unknown until recently. It consists of 184 nucleotides that fold into an extended hairpin structure with a large single-stranded internal bulge. The 6S RNA specifically associates with RNA polymerase holoenzyme containing the sigma70 specificity factor.
Source: RNAcentral